GGGGAUGAUCGGUUUCGACAUCGCCUGUGAAACUGCGAGAAGCGGGCCGAGGAUGCAGGGUUAUCUCGUUAACGAUCUCUGCAAACCAUAGGUGCCAACGUUAAGCGCACCGACGUCGCUCUCGCUGCCUAAGCAGAGUUGAACGUCCGUCAGACCGGACUCGCCCUCGAUCCGGCUCCUGGCGUCAUCUAGAGGGCUUGCUGCGCGGCUGAGUUCCAGGGUCGCGCGGGACUUUCACUGGGGCUGGGCUCGUCGACCUAGGUGUUCGUGACAAAGGUCGGAGCCGAGUAGAACGUUCUCACGGACUGCGCCCGGAGAAGGCGCAGGAUCUCAGCGAUGGACGGGGGUUCAAUUCCCCCCAUCUCCACCA
RNAcentral lists this transfer-messenger RNA (370 nucleotides) under Microbacteriaceae. RNAcentral describes it as "Protaetiibacter sp014483895 Standard tmRNA". It matches the Rfam family "transfer-messenger RNA". From Rfam's summary of the family: Bacterial tmRNA, also known as 10Sa RNA or SsrA, is named for its dual tRNA and mRNA-like properties. RNAcentral also lists the same sequence under 1 other name. Lineage: Bacteria; Bacillati; Actinomycetota; Actinomycetes; Micrococcales. The record is from RNAcentral.